CAGCUCUCCGAGUGGUAGGGAUGAUUAUUGGGCUUAAAGCGUCCGUAGCCGGCUUAGCAAGUUUCCUGUUAAAUUCAGCGACCUAACCGUUGACCCGCGGGAAAUACUACUAGGCUAGGAGGCGGGAGAGGUCGACGGUACUUCUGGGGUAGGGGUGAAAUCCUAUAAUCCCGGGAGGACCACCAGUGGCGAAGGCUGUCGACUAGAACGCGCUCGACGGUGAGGGACGAAAGCUGGGGGAGCGAACCGGAUUAGAUACCCGAGUAGUCC
RNAcentral lists this ribosomal RNA (270 nucleotides) under uncultured archaeon. RNAcentral's name for it is "partial 16S ribosomal RNA". It matches the Rfam family "Archaeal small subunit ribosomal RNA", at positions 477 to 747 of the family's 1478-position model. The record is from RNAcentral.